GGGAAAUGAUUUGAAUGUAGGGCUGGGUCAGGAGAUUGAAAAGAUUUAAGAGAGCAGAGAGACGGGUCUGAAGCAGACAUCUUUGUGCUUAAGGAACGAGAGCUCCUCUGCGCUCCCAUCAUGCUCUGGGCCUGCCUAUUCCUCACCUAUUUCUCAGGAUCUUUGGCCCAGUAUGUGUUGACGCAGCCCCCAUCAGUGUCCGUGUCUCCGGGACGAGAUGCCCAAAUCACUUGUUCUGGGAACAACAUUGGGAGCAAAUAUGUGCAUUGGUACCAGCAGAAACCAAGCCAGGCCCCUGUACUGAUAAUAUACGAAGACAGUAAGAGACCCACUGGGAUCUCGGACCGAGUCUCUGGCACCAACUCUGGCAACACAGCCAGACUGAGCAUUGCCAGAGCCCUAGCAGAGGAUGAGGCCGAUUAUUACUGCCAAGUGUGGGACAGCAACACAGCUCACAGUGACACAGGCAGAUGGGGAAGUGCGACAAAAACCUCUUGCUGAAAAAGGCAGCUGCUAUCAUACUCUGUCUUCAGAGGAGAGACGUUCCAGUGGAAUUGAAUUUUCAUGAAAAGAGGCUUAUUCUCACCCCCAAACCUCCACGUCUCCCAGAGUUACAGUUGUUGUUUCUCUAGCUCUCUCCCUCGUUUAAUGAGGGGAGGCAAAUGAAGGGGCUUCACUGAGGUAGAGAAUUUAGCAUAGACUACAACAGUGCAUUGGACAUAGACAGCAGGUCCUUGCUGGGGCACAGAGAGGCUUAUUUUGUCAUUAUUGAGAGCAUUCUCACCCUUCUCUUUGGUCAAAGAGGAUCCCAGAGUGGCUUACAUACAAGAAAUUGAAACCAGACACUUUGGAAAAUGAGCGAGGUCCCAACCAAAGAAGAAUGGCAACUUAAGCUGAUGGAAUAUGCUCAGUUUGUGGACUUAACAUAUAGAAUAAGAGAACAAGAAGAACAUACAUUUAGAGAAGACUGGAAAAUGUUUAUUGAAUAUAUGGAGGAAAAUUGUAUGCAUUUGAGAAUGUUGUCAGCAUUGAGAUAAAUUAAACAUUGUAAAUAAGCUUUGAUAGAUGUAAUAUUGGAAUACUGAAUGGUUUUAUUUAACUAAAAUAUGGAGGGAUUUAUGAUAUGCAAAAUGAACCAUGGAAAGAGAAGAAGGGAAGUCAUUGAUAUUUUAAGAAUAUUUAAAUGAGUAUUCUAAAUUGUAAAACAG
Podarcis raffonei (Aeolian wall lizard) is the source of this 1208-nucleotide non-coding RNA. NCBI's taxonomy places the organism in Eukaryota, Metazoa, Chordata, Lepidosauria, Squamata, Lacertidae. The record is from the annotation of a RefSeq genome assembly.